CGAGGCCAAAGUUAGAUGAUUCGAAACUCGGAAAUGUGAAGGAGGCGGGGUUGGACAAUAAACCAGAUGGGAAUUUGAAUAGACUCGAUCCGGUUACUAGGAUGGUUGCCGGAGUAAGAGAACUGGUUGGAGUUUUGAAAGAUGAGGAAGCUGCAGGAUCUGAAAUGCAUAGGUUUUUACGGUUCCUUACUGCACAUCCGAUUAUUUUACUUAAUUUCUUG
Molecule: unclassified non-coding RNA, 221 nt
Filed under: Hevea brasiliensis (rubber tree)
Lineage: Eukaryota; Viridiplantae; Streptophyta; Magnoliopsida; Malpighiales; Euphorbiaceae
Source: RNAcentral